UACGUAGGGUCCGAGCGUUGUCCGGAAUUAUUGGGCGUGAAGGGCUCGUAGGCGGUUUGUCGCGUCGGGAGUGAAAACUCAGGGCUCAACCCUGAGCGUGCUUCCGAUACGGGCAGACUAGAGGUAUGCAGGGGAGAACGGAAUUCCUGGUGUAGCGGUGGAAUGCGCAGAUAUCAGGAGGAACACCGGUGGCGAAGGCGGUUCUCUGGGCAUGACCUGACGCUGAGGAGCGAAAGCAUGGGGAGCGAACAGG
Molecule: ribosomal RNA, 253 nt
Filed under: uncultured bacterium
Lineage: Bacteria
Description: partial 16S ribosomal RNA
Rfam family: Bacterial small subunit ribosomal RNA
Source: RNAcentral